Long non-coding RNA from Apis cerana (Asiatic honeybee), 3677 nucleotides. RefSeq lists it as uncharacterized. The record is from RefSeq and is a predicted model, not a curated record. Lineage: Eukaryota; Metazoa; Arthropoda; Insecta; Hymenoptera; Apidae.
UUCAUAUAUAUAGACACUAUACUUCGAUCACCAGGAGUAAAGUGUUAUACAUUGAUGGAUUUUGCAGGAUAGAUUUAGGAUACUCGAUGCAUGCUCCGCUUAUCACCGCUUUUCGCCUCCGCAUUUCCCGAACAUUUACUUUCAAUGCUUCCGCUACUUAUCGGAAAAUAUUACACGACAAAAGAUGAACACGCUUCUUUUAUCCUUUAAUUUCCUCCUCAUCCUAGUUCCUGUCAUGUUCACCUUUAGUAAGAUUUUUUUUUGUUUUAAGUUCCGUUUAUAUUUCAUUACAAAAAUCUUUCAAAAAUUUCGAAAAAUUUUUCUCGAUACGAUAACAACGAUUGAACAUUUAAAUUGAAUACGAUGCAGAAUCUUUGUUAACAAAGCUGUAUAAUGUGGUUUACGCGAGAUUGAGUUUCCUCGAAGGAAAAAUCAGAAGAGAAAGAAGAUCUGGAAUAACAAAGAGACAGUAUAGGAGAGCAAGCAUGUUUUUCCUAUAAUAAUACGAACUCUCUCUCUCUCUUUCUUUUUCUCUCCCUCCUUUCUCUCUCUCUCUCUCUCUCUCUCUCUCUCUCUCUCUCUCUCUCUCUCUCUCUCUCUCUCUCUCUACGUUUUCGCGUGAAUCCCUACAAUAACAUCGGAGACCAAGUAAUAACACCAGUUUCACCUGAGAUGCGAGGCAAAUAUAGCGUAGGGAGUUUCAUCCUCGACCCAGAAGGAACUUUGUUUAACCGUUGUACCAAUGAAAUUACACUUUUUGAUCGUUGUCGCUUAAUUGAUUCAUUAAACCUCAACCGGUAUCGUCGGAUUACAGGAUAGAAACCUAAUUGGGAGAAAAUUUUAAGGAUACAGAACUUUCACAAUCGGGAAAUUCUCUAGAAUUCUCUAUUAGAACGUUAUAAUCAACUAACGAAAAGUUCCGAACGAAUUGGAUAGGAUAAAAGAAAAUCUCUAGAAUAUUACUAGAUUCGUACAUACGUACGUAAAUUUACGUCAUUAGAAAAAUAUUUUAAAAAAAAACAAUAAGAAUUAGAAACCUAGGAUUUAUUUAUAAUCUUAAAAUCUGCUGAAAAUAAUUACAGAAAUAUUAAAAUAAUAAUUUUUCUUAAAAUACAUUCGUUUUAAAAUACAUUCGUUUUAAAAUACAUUCGUUUUAAAAUACAUUCACGAUGUAUUCGACGAUACAUCCAAAAACAGGAAGUAGUCUACAUGUCAUUUUCCAAUCGGCCUGGGAAAAGUAACAUGCGAAUCGCCCUGUAGGAAUGAUGAAAGAUGGGAACGCGGUUUUCCAUCGUGUGAGAAGGGCCUUUGUAACGCAUUGAAACACGGCUUAUCGACGCCCACGAGGAUUGGUGUUUCCGCCUGUAUUCCUGGUACAACUGUAGAACAACACGAACCGGAUACAGAGGGUGUGCGUGACAGCGGCAAAAAGGAGAGAUAAAAAAUUCUCGAGACGCGCAAAGGGACAAGUAUUAUUCGCCCGUCGUACGCGAAUCGCUACGCGAAUUCUUGAACGCGCGACGUGCGUGCGCAUUCGAUCACGAUAUACACCGGUGGCAGCUGCUUCUGCGAUGCAAAUUCCCCCUAAUUGCAGAUCGCAGUUCGCCGAUAACGUGUUUACGGAAAGCUAAUAAAUUUCUCUAAUAACAGGUCGCGACAAGAAUUUAUAAUGAAGAAAUUUACGUGGCCGGUUACUUCGAGUGCGCGUUGUAUAUAUAGAUCAUCUUCACGCGACCGCCAUUUUCUCCUUUGGAGUCGAGUUUGAUCUUGGCCGUAUUUCUCUGGGAGCUGGUCGAUAUACCAGGUUAAGUUUGCUUUAAAUGAUUAACAUUGUGGAACUGGUAGAUUAGGGCUGAAAGUUAGGUUAGGUUCAAGUUCGCCCAUAUCAAUUCUGUGAAAAUUUUACGCGAAAGGUUGGCCAUCUGCUAUAAUACGAAGUUAUGGUUAUUCUCGUGUAACGUGAAGUAUUAACAAAAGUUUUUGACGCAUAAGUGUAUGAGCUAGCCUCAAAAAAUAAUGAGAAUAGUAAAAAAGUGGAUGAUUUCAAGAUAAAGGAAUCUAUACUAAUAUAAAUACUAUUUGGAUAUGAAUGAAAGUUGGUACAUCUACAUUGCCGUUGUCAUCUGAAUUAAUCGUUAUUCUCCGAUGUUACUCCCUGAACACAUGGAAGCCAUCUUACAGGUUUGUUCUCACAUAAAUACAUCUUGCUCUUCUCUUUGUCUGGCUUUAGGGAAAAGGCGGAACGUGAGAGAUUCGUGGCUAAAACAGAGAGAAGAGCCGAUCUGUCGACGAAGGCGAUGUCAUCGUCGUUGUCUGUACGCACAUUUACACGGAAGCCAAUAUUUGCACGGCAGAGUUGGCAUCAGUUUCCUUUGGUCAGACCUCUCGAUGCGGCGUCGUAUUUAUCGUGCAAACUAACGACGAUCGCACCGAACUUCGAUAUCAAAGCGACGCUGUCAGACAGUAAACGACGAACUACUUGAUCCGGAUAAAUAAAGCGAAGAUAGCUGAGAAAGAUACACCUACGGUUUGAUGAUUGAUCGGACACAAAUUUCUCACUUGAUCACUGGUCUCAGAUUUCCCUUGAAAAGCCUGGAACUAUUUCUGUUCAAAUAACGACUUUAAUUCUGUGCUUCAAAAGAAAAAAAAAUUCUAUUUUUCUUUAGAAUUGAAUUUGUUUAAAGCACUUUAAAUUUUUUAAAAAGUUUUUUUGAUAUAUAAGAUAGCGAAUAAUUGUCUUAAUUGUCAGAAUUUGUUAUUGAAAAUUAUAUGCUCACAAAGUUCAUCACGUUGACUUUUUAUGUUAUUAUAACAUAAUCACAGAAUAACAUGAUAGAAAUAGGCACCAAAUUCAAAUUUUAUUUCCAGUAAAAUUUUAUUUGAGAAACGUUAAUUCGUUUUUAAUUAAAUGGAAUAAAUUUACAGUUUGAAUGUUAAUUAUGAAAAAUUAUGAGAAAGAUUAUAGAAUAACUAUUUAUUUCUUUAGGUAUUAGGUCUUUAGAUAUGAAUAUUAUGAAGUUAUAUUAAAUUAUUUUAUUUAGGUUUAGAGGUUAAUUAUAAAAAAUGUUAAGAUACGUUCCUAAGCUCUGAAGAUAAUCUAACUUGUCCUAUGCUUUCCUUUAAAAGCCAGUCUACGAUGCUCAUCUCGGUUAAACGCCGCACCUUAGUGAUUAAUCACCCUAUGAUCGCGAUAUUCUUUAGUCUAAUGCGCUAGUAGAUGCCGUGUGGCAGCACGGUUUACAUAGGCUUUUUAUCCGACAAAUCGAGAGAUCUUCGGCUAUUUUCCAUUGCAAUUUUAUCAGUCGGUAAUGCAGUCGUUAUUAACCUUCGACAAAGAUCUUACCGAUGUGGCAAAUCACCGGCUUAAACUCGAUGAAAGAUGCGUUCACAGAGUGUGAAAGACAGAAAUCUAGUGUUUUUUGUGGUCAUCGUUUGUACGCAGGCAGGCCUGGCUCUGACAGGCUCUGUAAGAAUACCGUAUAAUAAAGGUGGUCCCUUUUUUUUUACUACGCGUUAUAGUUUAAAAAAUAUGAAAAUUAAAUAUUAAAUUGAAAUAUAAUUUAAAAUAUUCUUAUCGAUUGUUACAAUUUUUAUUCACAAAAGAUACUAUAUGAAAAAUGGCAUCUUUUUUGAUAACAAAAAAAAAAAUAACGUUAAAUAAAUAAUUUUUGUAUAAA